RNAcentral lists this ribosomal RNA (407 nucleotides) under uncultured bacterium. RNAcentral's name for it is "partial 16S ribosomal RNA". It matches the Rfam family "Bacterial small subunit ribosomal RNA", at positions 29 to 526 of the family's 1533-position model. The record is from RNAcentral.
AGUGAACGCUGGCGGCAGGCCUAACACAUGCACGUCGAGCGGAGCGGCGGACGGGUGCGUAAUGCCUAGGAAUCUGCAUGGUAGUGGGGGAUAACGUCCGGAAACGGGCGCUAAUACCGCAUACUCUCAGAUGAGCCUAGGUCGGAUUAGCUAGUUGGGGGGGAAAAGGCAUACCAAGGCGACGAUCCGUAACUGGUCUUAGAGGAUGAUCAUUCACACUGUAACUGAGACACGGUCCAGACUCCGACGGGAGGCAGCAGUGGGGAAUAUUGGACAAUGGGCGAAAGCCUGAUCCAGCCAGGCCGCGUGUGUGAAGAAGGUCUGCGGAUUGGAAAGCACUUUAAGUUGGGAGGCGUUACCAACAGAAUAAGCACCGGCUAACUUCGUGCCAGCAGCCGCGGUAAUAC